GUGCCGCCGCAAACGCAGUAAGCAUUCCACCUGGGGAGUACGUUCGCAAGAAUGAAACUCAAAGGAAUUGACGGGGANCCGCACAAGCGGUGGAGCAUGUGGUUUAAUUCGAAGNAACGCGAAGAACCUUACCAAGUCUUGACAUCCGCCUGACGGCCGGUAACGCGGCCAUUCUUCGGG
This 180-nucleotide ribosomal RNA is filed under the name uncultured Lachnoclostridium sp. RNAcentral describes it as "partial 16S ribosomal RNA". It matches the Rfam family "Bacterial small subunit ribosomal RNA", at positions 843 to 1022 of the family's 1533-position model. Lineage: Bacteria; Bacillati; Bacillota; Clostridia; Lachnospirales; Lachnospiraceae. The record is from RNAcentral.